GGGCGCUUAGCUCAGUUGGUCCAGAGCGCCGCCCUUACAAGGCGGAGGUCAUCCGUUCAAAUCGGAUAGCGCCCACAA
This 78-nucleotide transfer RNA is filed under the name Fidelibacterota bacterium. Its description in RNAcentral is "tRNA-Val". It matches the Rfam family "tRNA". From Rfam's summary of the family: Transfer RNA (tRNA) molecules are approximately 80 nucleotides in length. Their secondary structure includes four short double-helical elements and three loops (D, anti-codon, and T loops). Further hydrogen bonds mediate the characteristic L-shaped molecular structure. tRNAs have two regions of fundamental functional importance: the anti-codon, which is responsible for specific mRNA codon recognition, and the 3' end, to which the tRNAs corresponding amino acid is attached (by aminoacyl-tRNA synthetases). tRNAs cope with the degeneracy of the genetic code in two manners: having more than one tRNA (with a specific anti-codon) for a particular amino acid; and 'wobble' base-pairing, i.e. permitting non-standard base-pairing at the 3rd anti-codon position. Lineage: Bacteria; Pseudomonadati; Fidelibacterota. The record is from RNAcentral.